AUAAACUGGAGGAAGGUGGGGAUGACGUCAAGUCAUCAUGGCCCUUACGACCAGGGCUACACACGUGCUACAAUGGCGCAUACAAAGAGAAGCGACCUCGCGAGAGCAAGCGGACCUCAUAAAGUGCGUCGUAGUCCGGAUUGGAGUCUGCAACUCGACUCCAUGAAGUCGGAAUCGCUAGUAAUCGUGGAUCAGAAUGCCACGGUGAAUACGUUCCCGGGCCUUGUACACACCGCCCGUCACACCAUGGGAGUGGGUUGCAAAAGAAGUAGGUAGCUUAACCUUCGGGAGGGCGCUUACCACUUUGUGAUUCAUGACUGGGGUGAAGUCGUAACAAGGUAACCGUAGGGGAACCUGCGGUUGGAUCACCUCCUUACCUUAAAGAAGC
RNAcentral lists this ribosomal RNA (388 nucleotides) under Salmonella enterica subsp. enterica serovar Muenchen. Its description in RNAcentral is "bacterial SSU rRNA". It matches the Rfam family "Bacterial small subunit ribosomal RNA", at positions 1158 to 1533 of the family's 1533-position model. Lineage: Bacteria; Pseudomonadati; Pseudomonadota; Gammaproteobacteria; Enterobacterales; Enterobacteriaceae. The record is from RNAcentral.